GAGGGUAUAGCUCCAGCGGUGGAGCAUGUGCUCCGCAUGCAUGAGGUUCUGGGUUCAAUCCCCAGUAACUCCA
RNAcentral lists this transfer RNA (73 nucleotides) under Camelus bactrianus (Bactrian camel). It matches the Rfam family "tRNA". From Rfam's summary of the family: Transfer RNA (tRNA) molecules are approximately 80 nucleotides in length. The record is from Rfam by way of RNAcentral. RNAcentral also lists the same sequence under 2 other names. Lineage: Eukaryota; Metazoa; Chordata; Mammalia; Artiodactyla; Camelidae.